Molecule: ribosomal RNA, 253 nt
Filed under: uncultured bacterium
Lineage: Bacteria
Description: partial 16S ribosomal RNA
Rfam family: Bacterial small subunit ribosomal RNA
Source: RNAcentral
UACGGAGGGUGCGAGCGUUGUCCGGAUUUAUUGGGUUUAAAGGGUGCGUAGGUGGGUUAAUAAGUCAGUGGUGAAAUACAGCCGCUCAACGGUUGAGGUGCCAUUGAUACUGUAGAGCUUGAAAUAAUUGGAGGCUGCCGGAAUGGAUGGUGUAGCGGUGAAAUGCAUAGAUAUCAUCCAGAACACCGAUUGCGAAGGCAGGUGGCUACGAUUUAUUUGACACUGAGGCACGAAAGCAUGGGGAGCAAACAGG